Molecule: ribosomal RNA, 434 nt
Filed under: uncultured bacterium
Lineage: Bacteria
Description: partial 16S ribosomal RNA
Rfam family: Bacterial small subunit ribosomal RNA
Source: RNAcentral
AGCGAACGCUGGCGGCAGGCCUAACACAUGCAAGUCGAACGAACCUUUCGGGGUUAGUGGCGGACGGGUGAGUAACACGUGGGAACGUGCCUUUAGGUUCGGAAUAACUCAGGGAAACUUGUGCUAAUACCGAAUGUGCCCUUCGGGGGGAAGAUUUAUCGCCUUUAGAGCGGCCCGCGUCUGAUUAGCUAGUUGGUUGAGGUAAUGGCUCACCAAGGCGACGAUCUGUAGCUGGUCUGAGAGGAUGAUCAGCCACAUUGGGACUGAGACACGGCCCAAACUCCUACGGGAGGCAGCAGUGGGGAAUCUUGCGCAAUGGGCGAAAGCCUGACGCAGCCAUGCCGCGUGAAUGAUGAAGGUCUUAGGAUUGUAAAAUUCUUUCACCGGGGACGAUAAUGACGGUACCCGGAGAAGAAGCCCCGGCUAACUUCGUG